Talpa occidentalis (Iberian mole) is the source of this 343-nucleotide long non-coding RNA. RefSeq lists it as uncharacterized. Lineage: Eukaryota; Metazoa; Chordata; Mammalia; Eulipotyphla; Talpidae. The record is from RefSeq and is a predicted model, not a curated record. The transcript has 3 exons.
CCCAAGUCUUGUGCCACCCCAGAUUCCAUCCCAGCAGACAGGAAGUGGCCCCACAGUAGCCCCAGCCGGGACCGCUCUCUGGAGAGGAAGGCCAGGAAGAAGCAGUCACCCUCCCUCCCCUGGAAUGUGCAACAGGUCACGGAGAAACUUCAGCCCCCCUCCGUAGAAUACUUGUGUGAGAGUCAGCCACCCCCUGCACUCGCUCAACUGUCAAAGCCAUCGGGAAAGAGCUUUUUCCCUGCUGUCCCUGCAGCUUCCAAGACAAAACCCAGCCUCAGUUUCCACGCAGAUGAGAACACGCUUCACGUGCCAGAGGUCAGCUUCACCUUCCCCAGCGCCAUGU